UACGUAGGCAGCAAGCGUUGUUCGGAAUUAUUGGGCGUAAAGAGUAUGUAGGUGGUGUCGUAAGUUUGGUGUGAAAUCUCCCGGCUUAACCGGGAGGGUGCGCCGAAGACUGCGAUGCUUGAGUAUGGGAGAGGGAAUCGGAAUUCCUGGUGUAGCGGUGAAAUGCGUAGAUAUCAGGAGGAACACCUGUGGUGUAGACGGGUUCCUGGACCAUUACUGACACUGAGAUACGAAAGCGUGGGUAGCAAACAGG
RNAcentral lists this ribosomal RNA (253 nucleotides) under uncultured bacterium. RNAcentral describes it as "partial 16S ribosomal RNA". It matches the Rfam family "Bacterial small subunit ribosomal RNA", at positions 524 to 776 of the family's 1533-position model. The record is from RNAcentral.